Long non-coding RNA from Monodelphis domestica (gray short-tailed opossum), 1070 nucleotides. The record is from Ensembl. Lineage: Eukaryota; Metazoa; Chordata; Mammalia; Didelphimorphia; Didelphidae.
UUUGUUUGUUUUUUUAAAUUUAUUUAUUUAAUUUAUUUAGAAUAUUUUUCCAUGAUUCCAUGAUUCAUGUUCUUUCCCUCUCCUCUUUCUAUCUCCUCCCCUCCUGUAAUCAACAAGCAAUUCCACUGGGUCUUACAUGUGUCAUUGAUCAAGACCUAUUUCCAUAUUAUUAAUAUUUGCACUGGGGUGGUCACUUGGAGUUUACAUCCCCACUUUUACCCCCAUCAAACCAUGUGAUCAGGCAGUUGUUUUUCUUCUGUGUUUUUACUCCCACAGUUCUUCCUCUGAAUGUGAAUAGUGUUCUUUCUCAUAAGUCCAUCAGAAUUGUCCUGGAUCAUUGCAUUGCCACUAAUGGAGAAGUCCAUUACAUUUGAUUGUGUCACAGUGCAUCAAUCUCUGUUUAUAUUGUUCUCUUGGUUCUGCUCUUUUCACUCUGCAUCAAUUCCUGGAGAUCAUUCCAGUUCUAAUGAAAUUCCUCCAAUUCAUUAUUCCUUUUAGCACAAUAGUAUUCCAUCACCAACAGAUACCACAACUUGUUUUAUAAUGUUUUGCCACCACAAAGAGCAUGGCUAUAAAUAUUUUUGUACACAUCUUUUUCCUUACGAUCUCUUUGGGGUAUAAACUCAGCAGUGGUAUGGCUGGAUCAAAAGGCAGACAGUUUUUAAAACUUUUUGGGCAUAGUUCCAAAUUGACUUCCAGAAUGGUUGGAUCAAUUCACAACCCCACUAGUGUAAUAGAGGGCAGUACUAGGAUAUUUGUGGUAAUAAGGACAGGGACAGCAGGAAGCCAGCUAAGGGGCAAAGCUGAAUCUUACACUCCUCCCCCACACUACUUCCUGUCCCUUCCCCAACUGAAUCUAAAGGCUCUUCUCAAGAAUGGUGGUCUGAAAGAGGCUGGCAUGGAUAAAAACAUACAGAGGAGACUCCUGGGUUAUGCACGGUCAUUGACAGAGUGAAUCGACUGGUCGGAGCUUGGCAGAGCCUUCCUGACAUUCAGCAUCCAUAACAUUUCUAAUGCUUCAGUGGCUAAAGAAGCCACAUUAAUAAAAACCAGAGGAAUCCUGAGAAUCA